UGCNAGUCGAGCCCUGAGGCGGCGAGCGGCGGACGGGUGAGUAUACCUAGGGAUCUGCCCAGUCGAGGGGGAUAACAGUUGGAAACGACUGCUAAUACCGCAUACGCCCUACGGGGGAAAGGAGGGGACCUUCGGGCCUUUCGCGAUUGGAUGAACCUAGGUGGGAUUAGCUAGUUGGUGAGGUAAUGGCUCCAAGGCGACGAUCCCUA
This 209-nucleotide ribosomal RNA is filed under the name Shewanella glacialipiscicola. Its description in RNAcentral is "partial 16S ribosomal RNA". It matches the Rfam family "Bacterial small subunit ribosomal RNA", at positions 56 to 285 of the family's 1533-position model. Lineage: Bacteria; Pseudomonadati; Pseudomonadota; Gammaproteobacteria; Alteromonadales; Shewanellaceae. The record is from RNAcentral.